RNAcentral lists this long non-coding RNA (1282 nucleotides) under Citrus x clementina. RNAcentral describes it as "Citrus clementina (C. clementina) long non-coding RNA (CCLE_LNC003467)". Lineage: Eukaryota; Viridiplantae; Streptophyta; Magnoliopsida; Sapindales; Rutaceae. The record is from RNAcentral.
AAGAAUGCAAACUAAUAACCCAACAUCCAGCUAAAUACUUCAUCUGAAUGCCCUUUCCUCGGAGUGAUGACAUGCUAUAAUACGGUGUAGAGGAUCUAAUAUAUAAAGGUAGUAAUGGGAACGGAAAAUGAGAGAGCAGAUAUCAUCAGAAAAGUCUCUAUGUCUACAUAUGUUUCAAUAGCGUGUGAAUAAAUAAAGUCAGCAAACGAGAUAGCCUUCCUAGAUGAAUAAUGUAACACUCCAAUUCCACUGACAAGGUACUAUGAUGAAAUUAAAGUGAAACUGUAUUUUAUCAUUCUCAUCUCUAAAACUUUCAAAGUAAUAACCAACAAUAAUGUUCUAAGCCUCCAAAAGCAUAUAAAUAAAUUCUAAAAUAACAUAUCCUCUAAUAAAUAUCAUCCCAAAGCAAGCUAAAUUGUUCUUAAAUUAUCAACGUAACAUUAAUCCCCAAAAGAAAUAGAGUUCUUAUUCUUCUUCUUAAGACCAUGAGCUCACAUCAUCUCUCUGCAAAAAUUGUGGUAACGAGGGGUGAGCCGUCAACUCGGUAAGUAAAUUCAUGCACAAUACUAAAAAUCAUUAAAAUAUAAUUUAAUAAAACUUCUUAGAUAUACAUAAUAAUAAGAGAAAUACCUUUAUAAAUCAUCAUUUAGCAAAAAUAAAUCACAUCAUCAUAAAGCCAUUUAAAUCCUUUUAACAAAACAAUAGCAUUUGAAACACAUAAAACAUAUUUAGCUCAUGCCACAUAGUAUCACCUGUAGACCCGAUGAUCCAACCAUAUAACAUCAUUCAGGGUACUGUUUUUUGCAGGAAUCAUUAACAUUAACAUCAUAUGUACAAAAAAUCCGGCUAGCCUUCCAUAAUAUAACAUAAAAUAAUAUCACUACGGAUAAUGAGCCAAAACAUAUAAAAUCAUCCUUGAACUUUUAAUCAUUUGUAAACUUUCAUGAAUUACAUUUAAAUAAUUCAUUAUUAUUUCAAAGUAUUUGACUUAAAACCAUUUAAUAAAAUUUUAAAGAAUGAUUUUACUUAAAUAAAGUUAUGCUAUAAAUAAUUUUUAAGAAUGCUUUUAUUUAAUAAAAUAUUGUAAAAGACUAUACAAAUCAGUUUCAUAUACUUUUUCUUUCAACAUAAUACAAGGUAUUAUGUCAGAAACAUAUUACAAAAGGAAUUUUAUAUGUAAAUCUCCACACUGUCCAACAGUGAUAAAAACAUAGAUAGUUGAAUUAGAAAAUUUGAAUAUUUAAUAAAACUCAUAAAAAUUAGACCACUUGAUUUUACAAUA